UACAGAGGUCCCAAGCGUUGUUCGGAUUCACUGGGCGUAAAGGGUGCGUAGGUGGCCAGGUAAGUUUGAUGUGAAAGCUCGGAGCUUAACUCCGAAAUGGCAUUGAAUACUAUCUGGCUUGAGGGUCGGAGGGGAGACUGGAAUUCUCGGUGUAGCAGUGAAAUGCGUAGAUAUCGAGAGGAACACCAGUGGCGAAGGCGGUUCUCUGGGCAUGUUCUGACGCUGAGGAGCGAAAGUGUGGGGAGCGAACAGG
This 253-nucleotide ribosomal RNA is filed under the name uncultured bacterium. RNAcentral's name for it is "partial 16S ribosomal RNA". It matches the Rfam family "Bacterial small subunit ribosomal RNA", at positions 524 to 776 of the family's 1533-position model. The record is from RNAcentral.